UACGGAGGGCGCAAGCGUUGUUCGGAAUCACUGGGCGUAAAGCGCGUGUAGGCGGUUUGGCAAGUCGGCUGUGAAAGCCCGAGGCUCAACCUCGGAACUGCAGCCGAAACUGCCGGGCUCGAGUCCCGGAGAGGGUGGCGGAAUUUCCGGUGUAGAGGUGAAAUUCGUAGAUAUCGGAAGGAACACCAGAGGCGAAGGCGGCCACCUGGACGGUGACUGACGCUGAGACGCGAAAGCAAGGGGAGCAAACAGG
This 253-nucleotide ribosomal RNA is filed under the name uncultured bacterium. RNAcentral's name for it is "partial 16S ribosomal RNA". It matches the Rfam family "Bacterial small subunit ribosomal RNA", at positions 524 to 776 of the family's 1533-position model. The record is from RNAcentral.